GAUGAAGAACGUAGCGAAAUGCGAUAAUUAAUGUGAAUUGCAGAAUUCCGUGAAUCAUCGAGUCUUUGAACGCACAUUGCGCCUCAUGGCAUUCCGUGAGGCAUGCCCAUCUCAGCGUUAGAAAAUAUUCUCAAAUUUUAGUUUUGUGCUAAAAUUUGCAUCAUGUCAAGGAAGCUAUUACUAUUAUUGUGAUCGCUCUUUGGAAAUUGAUAGGUCUUUGAGUUGCUACUCAUAGAACGUGAUGAAUCUUUCUUCGUUCUAUUGUAAUUCACUCUGGUAGUCCUAGAACUUGUAUGCCUGUGGCAUAUCUUGUAAUUUGACCUGAGAUUGGGUAGGGAUACCCGCUGAACUUAAGCAUAUCAAUAAGCGGAGGA
RNAcentral lists this unclassified non-coding RNA (374 nucleotides) under soil metagenome. RNAcentral's name for it is "partial contains internal transcribed spacer 2 and large subunit ribosomal RNA". The stretch from base 1 to 120 matches the Rfam family "5.8S ribosomal RNA", at positions 35 to 154 of the family's 154-position model. The record is from RNAcentral.